Molecule: ribosomal RNA, 254 nt
Filed under: uncultured bacterium
Lineage: Bacteria
Description: partial 16S ribosomal RNA
Rfam family: Bacterial small subunit ribosomal RNA
Source: RNAcentral
UACGUAGGGACCAAGCGUUGUUCGGAUUUACUGGGCGUAAAGGGCGCGUAGGCGGCGCGGUAAGUCACUUGUGAAAUCUCUGAGCUUAACUCAGAACGGCCAAGUGAUACUGCGGGGCUAGAGUGCAGAAGGGGCAACUGGAAUUCUCGGUGUAGCGGUGAAAUGCGUAGAUAUCUGGAGGAACACCGGUGGCGAAGGCGGCAUCCUGGACCAAUUCUGACGCUGAGUGAGCGAAAGCCAGGGGAGCAAACGGG